UGUUUUAUAGUCAUAAAUGAUACUAAAUUGCAAAUUUAGAGGAGUAGUUUACUACUAAGACUU
This 63-nucleotide transfer RNA is filed under the name Ruidocollaris obscura. RNAcentral's name for it is "tRNA-Cys". The record is from RNAcentral. Lineage: Eukaryota; Metazoa; Arthropoda; Insecta; Orthoptera; Tettigoniidae.